This is a long non-coding RNA of Frieseomelitta varia, 152 nucleotides long. RefSeq lists it as uncharacterized. Lineage: Eukaryota; Metazoa; Arthropoda; Insecta; Hymenoptera; Apidae. The transcript has 3 exons. The record is from RefSeq and is a predicted model, not a curated record.
UAAAGAAGAAUAGUUAAAAAAAAAAUCACUUCGAACAUGAAUGUCCGAUUGACAAACGAUAUGUUUCCAAUUCAAAGGAUCGAAAUCGAUUCGAGAUCGGUUCCGUGAGAAAGCAGGAAUGCGAACAGCAUUUCGAUCGCUGUUCGUGGAAA